CAAGUUUGAACAUAAUUCUGCUCGGAGCUUCUGGGUGUGUUCUGACUUGGAGUUUAGCAAAAUACCUACUAAAAUUAGUCCAGAACGUCGCUUUUAUGGAACUUUUUCGAAAUAGAAUGGUUAUGCUAUGCCGAGCAACAGGUUAGUGUUUGAUUUAGUGGUCUUUUAAAUGUUUGUGAGUUGUUUUUGUCGAGUUAUAGCGGAGUUUUAAAACACGUGUUAUAAAUUCAUUGUAUUUUAAUAGUUUGCUAAUUCCCGUUCGCUGUCGUUUAGUCGUUUCAUUUCCUUAGUAUUUCUCCCAUAUUUUGUAGUAUUCCUCCCAUAUUUUCUCCCUUAAUUCAUAUUUAUUUUAUCUGCUGUUUCAGGGCAGAAAUUCGACGAGAAAGUUCUCGAUGUUUAACUGAUUUGAGUCGCCGACCUAUCGAAGACUGGAAGCACGCGGUAAGCAUAUAUCACAUGCAUUUACAUACUUUUAUUUCUUGUUUGUGCUCGCUUUUUAAUCGAAUUUUUUGGACGAAAUUCAGAGAUGAAAUGGCCUCGUGUCCUGAUUGAAUGCAUGAACGCACUCGUUCAAAUCGGCUGGGAAUAUAUCGUAUUAACAGUGACAGAUGCGUUAGUGCGCUGUACUUAAACUUUUAUAUACUUGCAUGGAAACUCGAGUUGUGUUAGUAGACUUUGGUUGGCUCAUCUCUUCUGUGUUGACGAGGGUUUUUCAUCGGGUAGUCCAGUUUUCCUCCUUCGCUAAAAACUAAACCUUAGGGCCUUAAGCCGCGAGCAGGUUUUCUAUGACAAGUUUUUAUGUGACAAGUUUCAUUUGCUCGUCUGUACGCGCAACUUUGACAAUUUUUUCUAUGACAAGUGCACUUGUUCUAGCUUUUGACAAGUGUACCUGUGUACUUGUCAUAGAAAAAAUUGUCAAAGUACAAAUUUUGUUCGUCUGUAUGGCUCAACAAAGAAAACUUGUCAAAGUAAUCUGAGCAUUUGAUGUGAUUGGCCAGCUGGCUACUAAUAAAUUGUCAAAGUAAACUUGUUGACAGGUUCACACGCGUCCGAGGGGCAAUAUAUCAGUUAUAAACCUCCUCCUCGGUUUAUAACUAACUUAUAUCACAGUUGCGGAGGUUUUCCAACAUAUUUUGUCAUUUUCAAAAAUUUUUAAUGAAAAAUUCUCGCGUUUUAUCUACAAGUUUAAUCCAAUCAUUUAUUCAAGGAGGAUACCUAUUUACCGAGCCAAGGAUUCGAGCUCGGAAUCGAGGUCGGAUUCGAGCUCGGAUUCGAGCUCGGGAUUCGAGCUUGGAUUCUAUAGCAGGGCCGUAGGAAGCUCUUUUCGAUUGGGGGGGCUGAAAGCGAGGGCCGAAGGCCCGAGGAAAUUUUAAAUUUAGAGUCUCUAAAAUGCCAUUUCCUGGACUUUGGGGGAAGAUUUAACAGAAUUCUGAUAGUCAGAAAACAGCGUUUUAGUAUGUCGAAAUUUACAGGAAAGUAUGGGCCAGACUGUAGUAUUAUAAAUGCGCGGCGGGAAUUUUCGUCGUAAAUGGCAGUUGCGCGGAAAUGAAGGCAGAACAUUUGAGAAAAUUUCGAAAAUCUGGAGUCUCUAGAUCAGUGGCGUAACGUUAUAUCAGGGGGCCCCCGGUUCAAAAUUUUCGAAGCCCCCCCCCUAGUAGAAGUGCCAAAGGCACGAGUCGAGCGCCGUAUAUGCACGAGUUUUCUAGGGGGUCCAGGGCAUGCUCAUCCGGAAAAAAAUUUAAUCUAGACUCUCUGAAAUGCCAUUUCCUGGACUUUGGGGAGAGAUUUUAAAGAAUUCUGAUGGUCAUAAAACGACAUUGUAACAUAUCAGAAACCCUGGCCAAUGUUUUUGCUCUAUCGCCUAAGCCUGGGGGCCCCCAUUUGGGUUGGGGGCCCCCGGGUUCCCCCGGUCUGAGCCCAUAGUAGUUACGCCACUGCUCUAGAUGGUCUGAAAUGGCAUUUUCAGAGUUUUCUUUCGCAAGACCCAACACGCAAAAGACAAAAUAAAUCAUUAGUUCAUCAAAAAUGUGCAGAUUUUGUGGGAUUUUCUUGAAAAUGCGCGACAGAAAUUCAGCUAAAUUUCUACGCGAGGAACGAUCUGGAGUAUGAGUAAUAUCUUCAUUCUUUGCAGUUUGUCACAGAUUAAAUGAUAAAGUUUGCAUGAUUUUGAAAAAAGAAUGAUUAUUAGCAAAUUAUUGGGGGGGCUGCAGCCCCCCAGCCCCCCCCGGUUGCUACGGCCCUGUAUAGUAAGGUUAAGCUUGUUAAGAAAGAUUUUAUGCGGAAUUCUUUGUUUGGCGUUAGUAUAUGAAGAGCGAUAUGGCGAAGCACAAGUUGCUUACAAUCGCUAUCUAAGCAAUUAAAAAGAAUGGAAGCACUGUACAGAAAUGUUCGUUUGCCAGAGUCAGUACGCGGGAAGGGGGGUUGAAGGUCAUAUGCGCAAGCUCUAGUCAGAGCCCGUUGUCGAAUACAAGAUAAGAAUUUAAACAUUUGCUUAAAUGAUCACGGAGCACUGGGAUAAGGUCGAAGAUUGGGAUUAUUCGAAUCUGGGAAAAAAGAAGAACAGAAGGAGUAGAAAAGUCAGCGACUAGAAUAAUACGUGCUGCACGCUUUUGCUGUCGAAGAAUGCGAAGUAAAAGUGUUUUUGAGCAGUUUCCCCAAGUUACAGAGCAUGUCAAAAAAUUGCAUUUUAAAGCAAAUUGUAUGGAAUUUUUUUAAAUAAAAAACCUUUUCGGGAGAGCUAUACUCUGCCUUGAAUUACCCAGAGGGAGGGACUGUAGACUCGUAUUUUCCGAAAAGCUAACGAACAAUGCCGAGCCGCCAGCGAGAAUGUGAAAUGAGUAUACGGUUUAUUUGGUGUUCAUGUUAUAAUUACAUGAAGUACGAAUAAAAAAUCAAACAAUGUUUAUAAACUUUAUAUGGUUUCACAUGGUUUCACGACAAUUUCAACAGACUAUAAAUUGUAAAAUAUGCAUUUUAAUGGGGAUUUUACAAUGAAAUAUGUUACAAUUAACAAGGUAAGACGGCGUUUGUAUUGUUUUACUAGAGUAUUAAUACUUGCGCGUGACUUUUAAAUUAAUAAUACUUCUUUUCGAAUUUGGAUUGUUAAUAUAUUCAACAAGUUUUAUGAGAUUCGAUUGGGACUAUUCUACAAUGAAGUAUUAUUGGGUACUGUAAUGUCUAAAUACACAGCAAGACGAAUAAGUGGCAUUUAUUCGGGCAGAGAAGCGGCGAGCCAUUGCAAUUUAUAAUGGCGCCAUAUUUCAGUAUUUCACGAAAUAUCGAAGGGCACAGUAACGAAGAUAAUUACACUGCACUGUUUCAAAACCUGAUGAAACCUUCUUUGAAAUCUUCUUCAACCAUGUUAGGCCAUAUAAAAAAAAAUAGUUGGUUAGCGUCCUUAGCUUUUGCAAAAAGUGGGCGGGCGGGCGCUUUUUUUUAAAAUUUUUACUAAUUUUUAACGCCUUGGUUUUACUCACUGUUAGGUCCGAAACUGGAUUUUCUUGCGCAGUACAGAUAUUUUUUUAUAUAUUUCAAAAUAUAAUUCAUACCGUCAUUUUCGCACGCAAUUUCGAAAAUUAUUAACACAAUUGACCACAGUCAACAGAAAUACUACAUAUAUUAGAGCCCGUUGAUCAAUAAAAGUCGGGUUUUUUUAAAUAAAAAAUAAAAAAAAAUCCUGAGCGGGGCCUUUUUUGUGGGCGGGCGCGGACGCUAACCAACUAUUUUUUUUAUGUGGCCUUAUGUAAAAGUGCAACAACUGAAUGAUAUUUGCCAGAUUUCAGUUGGUGAUAAAAAGCAAACAAGAUGGCAAAAUCAUGUAUUAUAUUUAAAGAAAACAAUGACAAUCCUUAUGACAAUCCUCAUGAUAUUUGUUUUUAGGAAAUAGGAAUAUUUCACUUCUGCCAGGCACGUUAGUUAUUUAUGCAUAAUUAGCAAUUUACCGGCUGGGGGUGGUGCAUGGUCAUUUUCUUGUAAAAUAUUAUACUUAGACAAAUUUUUCCUUCCACUGACCACCCUAGCCUGAAAUGUCAGGUUCAAGCAGGGAGAACGCCUGACAUUUCAGGCUACUGACCAUCCCUAAAAGCAACCCUUCUGAACACUAUAACACUUCAGAAAGGCUAUCGCUUUUCCUUUUCGGAAGUUACAGCUAUGUCGACACUGCCGUUUCAGGGCGGGAUCAUUUUCAGGAAUUUUGUCCCGGAUUCAGGUUUUGGCACAUAUGCCAUGUUGACUGCCAUGGUCAUUUUCCCCUAAAACAGUUGAGAUUACCUGUGCUAAGUGAAACGCAUACAAAGUCAUAUACAGGUCCUAGACUAUAAUAAAACUUAGAUUCCGAGCUCGAAUUCCGAGCUCGAAUUCCGAGCUCGAUUCCGAGCUCGAAUUCCGAGCUCGAUUCCCGAGCUCGAUUCCGAGCUCGAUUCCGAGCUCGAUUCUGAGCUUGAUUUCGAGCUCGAAUCCGAGCUCGAAUCCUUGGCUCGGUAUAUAGUAUAUCUCAUAGACCUUUUAUUCAAGGUCUAUAAGCUAGGUAAUAAAAAUUUAUUGUCAUUUUCAAAGCAUGACUCGCUCAAAUAUUGAAGACUAAAGGCCAUGUUACACGGUGCAAUUUUUCUUGCAACUUGCAAUGCAAUUCUACUCUUGAGAGAUGUAAAAUUGCCAAGUACGAGUCUUCAUUACAUGCACUAUUGCACUCCGCCACAGAUGAGGUAAAUACUUACCUCAUCUGUGACUCCGCUGAUGUUUUCUGAACAUAUCGUAAAUUCUUCACUGAUUUCACUAAUUAACAUCUCUUAAGAGUAGAAUUGCAUUGCAAGUUGCAAGAAAAAUUGCACAGUGUAACAUGGCCUUAAAAGGCAAUGUUAACUGUCGUAUGCCAGUAAAAUUUUGAAAUCAUUUGGAGCACUAUGUUUGGAGUCACUAUUUUGAUCAUUUUCCUAUUUGUCAGGAGGCAAAUGGUGCCUCCAAAGAAAGUACAUGUGCAGACAACAUGAAACUUUAGACUGUACAAAAUUGCACAAGCACUUAUCAAACUCGUGCCACAUAAGUGGUAAAGAAUAUAGGUCAAUAUAUGUAUGACAAUUUGAACGGUAUCCUUUUGUAAUGUUUUUGGCCAGGAGUGGGUAUUUAUUUUUUGAUUGAUAUUCGAAGUUGGCUAAAAAAAUAUUCGACUUUUUAUUGGUUUAGCAAACGUUUUACCAAAAAAAAAUUCUUCUUCGCGUCACCCCCCCCCCUAAAUAAUGACUGGUCUCUUGACAUCAUUGAUGUUUUAUAACUAAAAAUUCAUAAUCCAAUUCUUUUAGACUGCCUCAAGACCGAUUAAUUUGAAGGCAAAUGGAAGGCCCAGAAGCGAAAGGACUUAAAGAGACGCAAAGCAGUCGGGAGCAAAAAGAAGGACAAAUGCAGACAACCACCCAGUCUGCGUUGUAGAACUUUAUAAUUAACCCGAUUCAUUUGCUAACCAUCACAUUCAUCGUCAGAAUUAGUUUGUACCACAUUUGGAAGAUUGCUACUAGCGCAUUGAGGUGUCAAGUUACAACAUGUUGAUGCUGUUCCAGAGACUAGUAAGCCAGUGUACACCACAGUCUUGACAGUGAUGGAAAACCAAACGGAAGAUAACCCGUCAUCAUCAUAUUCUGUCCAGUGUACCAAGUUGAGAUGCAAAGACCUGUCAAGCCACAAGCGACACUGUGCCAUCCUGAAACACUAAACAUGGGAAUGAAGGACGCCUUCUACUUAUCAUCUAGCAUAAAGUAGUUGCUCAGGAAAACACCAUAUUAUGCAAGGUAUAUAUUUUUUGUAAUUUGCAAUUGUAUUAAUGAAUUUAUGUACCGUAAAGUCUGAACACAGUGAAGUAAAUAUUGGCCACAGAUCGUUGUGGUUCAUAAGAGAAAACGAAUCAGGGGCCACUCCAGCCCAGGGUACCAACUUUUUCAUGUGAAAUAUGGAAGCCCCAGGUCUAGGGUGGGGCUAUAUGACAAUAGGUGGUAUUCAAGUUACGUCACCGUCGCCAUGUUGGAUGACAUUGACAAAGGAUUUUGCUUGUUUGCAACACAAAUAUCAUACAACAUGGCGAAAAUUUCUUUGUCCUUUGAAUCCCAUGGGAGUGGUUGCACAUCACCUAUUAGUCAAUUACAUCGUCACCACUGGGGGAGGGGGGGGGGAGGGGUUCUUAAUAAACUACUUUCAUAAUACACUUUGAGCGUCUUAAUUUCAAAAGAAUUUGAAUAGAAAUUAAGUAUAAUUUUUAAACCUGAAUGAGGCCAAGAAAGCUUAUUAAGAUGCACAAGAAAGAAUACUUUGAAUCCAUCUGUAUUAUGAAAGUAGUCUAUUGGAUAACAGUUGAUAUAUCUCAGCUACUACUCGUCUAUAGAGCGUUUGCGCUCAUUCCCCAGGGAUCAACUCAACAAAAGCCAUGGCGGCCAUGUUGGUGUUCCAGAAAAAAGAGUCUAAUUAAAAUUCUUUUGAAUUGGAACACCAACAUGGGGCUGUGACGUCAUGUGCAAAUGCUCUAUAUAAGGUGUAUAAAGCACAAGACCUUUAGACAUCAGGCUAUUGUUGGAAUUUGAAUGCAUAGUCUUAACUAUUCGUCCAUUUUCAGCCACUUUUUCCAUUUUUCAUAAAUGGGCAAAAAACAGCAAAAAAGUAAGGCUAUAAUAGCCUUGACUUUUCGUCCAUUUUUAGCCACUUUUUCCAUUUUUCAUAAAUGGGCAAAAAACAGCAAAAAAGUAAGGCUAUCGCCUUACUUUUUUGCUGUUUUUUUCCCAUUUAUGAAAAAUGGAAAAAGUGGCUAAACUUUUUGCUUGACUUUUCGUCCAUUUUUAGCGAAUUUUGCCAUUUUUCAUAAAUGGGCAAAAAACUGGUGCAGUUAUUGUGAUGUUAUUUGUUGUGAAAGACGGCCCGAAAUUUCGCUACUUCGCUGUACUGGUUUAUAAAACAUUUACAAGCAACAGAAAUUGAACUAUAUGACAAAGAAACCAAUGUGUACAAGCCAAUCAAGUUCUUCAGUUUAAAGGUUAGUCAGUUUACUUUUUAAUAAUUAGUUCAUUUAGUUAUAUAUUAAUACGAA
Molecule: long non-coding RNA, 7063 nt
Filed under: Paramuricea clavata
Lineage: Eukaryota; Metazoa; Cnidaria; Anthozoa; Malacalcyonacea; Plexauridae
Source: RNAcentral